UUCGGGGGUAAACGGACAGAGCCCGUGAAUCCGGGCGUCAGUGUUCAGAAGCGACGACGACGGUGUCACAACCACCGCCGCCGUCGUUUUGAAAUUUCUGACGCCGCGGACGUCGCGACCCGUUUGACGUCGGCCGCAGGAGUUGCGUUUCACGUUCGUACGCGUUGACGCGGGGGGGAUAUCGGCGUUUCGGCGUCGGUGCCCUCUUCGUUAACGCCGUUACGAGUACGCGAUCGAAUUCCGGCUGACUCGUCAGACGGUAUCGCGGGUGACCGUUGUCGCCGUUAACGACGAGCGCGACAACCGGUACCGGUCUGCGACGAAUCUUCGGGUCUCUUUCCGACCCGUCUUGAAACACGGACCAAGGAGUCUAACGUGCGCGCGAGUCGCGGGGUGUCGAGUAGCGGCGUACGUUCACGUUCACGCGUGUGCGUACGUCGUUGCCCGUUACAAUGCGAAACCCGUACACGUGAAAGGCGUAAUGAAAGUAAAAUAGGGAAGAUGGCGUUACUGAGAACACGUUCCGCGAUCGAGUAUCGCGGCCAGUCGCCCGCAUUCCCGGGGCGUCCCAACGGCACGUCGGCGUUGCGGAUUGUCGUCUCUCUGGAGGCGGCGGUCGGGCGUCGACGAACCGGGGCGCACCUAUAGCGUGCACGUUGGUACCCGAAAGAUGGUGAACUAUGCCCGGCCAGGAUGAAGUCAGGGGAAACCCUGAUGGAGGUCCGCAGCGAUUCUGACGUGCAAAUCGAUCGUCUGAGCUGGGUAUAGGGGCGAAAGACUAAUCGAACCAUCUAGUAGUUGGUUUCCCUUCCGAAAAAA
Molecule: ribosomal RNA, 819 nt
Filed under: Rastrococcus iceryoides
Lineage: Eukaryota; Metazoa; Arthropoda; Insecta; Hemiptera; Pseudococcidae
Description: partial large subunit ribosomal RNA
Rfam family: Eukaryotic large subunit ribosomal RNA
Source: RNAcentral